GACGAACGCUGGCGGCGUGCCUAAUACAUGCAAGUAGAACGCACAGUUUAUACCGUAGCUUGCUACACCAUAGACUGUGAGUUGCGAACGGGUGAGUAACGCGUAGGUAACCUGCCUGGUAGCGGGGGAUAACUAUUGGAAACGAUAGCUAAUACCGCAUAAUAUUGAUUAUUGCAUGAUAAUUGAUUGAAAGAUGCUAUUGCAUCACUACCAGAUGGACCUGCGUUGUAUUAGCUAGUAGGUGAGGUAACGGCUCACCUAGGCGACGAUAGCUAGCCGACCUGAGAGGGUGAUCGGCCACCCUGGGACUGAGACACGGCCCAGACUCCUACGGGAGGCAGCAGUAGGGAAUCUUCGGCAAUGGACGAAAGUCUGACCGAGCAACGCCGCGUGAGUGAAGAAGGUUUUCGGAUCGUAAAGCUCUGUUGUAAGAGAAGAACGGGUGUGAGAGUGGAAAGUUCACACUGUGACGGUAUCUUACCAGAAAGGGACGGCUAACUACGUG
Molecule: ribosomal RNA, 505 nt
Filed under: uncultured bacterium
Lineage: Bacteria
Description: partial 16S ribosomal RNA
Rfam family: Bacterial small subunit ribosomal RNA
Source: RNAcentral